This 234-nucleotide ribosomal RNA is filed under the name uncultured bacterium. RNAcentral describes it as "partial 16S ribosomal RNA". It matches the Rfam family "Bacterial small subunit ribosomal RNA", at positions 99 to 334 of the family's 1533-position model. The record is from RNAcentral.
CGUACGGGUGCGUAACACGUGUGCAACCUGCCUUUAUCUGGGGGAUAGCCUUUCGAAAGGAAGAUUAAUACUCCAUAAUAUAUUGAACGGCAUCGUUUAAUAUUGAAAGCUCCGGCGGAUAGAGAUGGGCACGCGCAAGAUUAGCUAGUUGGUGAGGUAACGGCUCACCAAGGCGAUGAUCUUUAGGGGGCCUGAGAGGGUGAUCCCCCACACUGGUACUGAGACACGGACCAG